This 467-nucleotide ribosomal RNA is filed under the name uncultured bacterium. RNAcentral describes it as "partial 16S ribosomal RNA". It matches the Rfam family "Bacterial small subunit ribosomal RNA", at positions 28 to 507 of the family's 1533-position model. The record is from RNAcentral.
GACGAACGCUGGCGGCGUGCUUAACACAUGCAAGUCGAACGGAAAGGCCUCUUUCGGGGGGUACUCGAGUGGCGAACGGGUGAGUAACACGUGAGUAACCUGCCCUUGACUUUGGGAUAACUUCAGGAAACUGGGGCUAAUACCGGAUAGGAGCUCCUGCUGCAUGGUGGGGGUUGGAAAGUUUCGGCGGUUGGGGAUGGACUCGCGGCUUAUCAGCUUGUUGGUGGGGUAGUGGCUUACCAAGGCUUUGACGGGUAGCCGGCCUGAGAGGGUGACCGGCCACAUUGGGACUGAGAUACGGCCCAGACUCCUACGGGAGGCAGCAGUGGGGAAUAUUGCACAAUGGGUGGAAGCCUGAUGCAGCAACGCCGUGUGCGGGAUGACGGCCUUCGGGUUGUAAACCGCUUGCGCUCAUGACGAAGCUUUGUGUGACGGUAGUGGGUAAAGAAGCACCGGCUAACUACGUG